Molecule: ribosomal RNA, 2115 nt
Filed under: oral metagenome
Description: bacterial LSU rRNA
Rfam family: Bacterial large subunit ribosomal RNA
Source: RNAcentral
CCAAGCUACAAAGGGCGCAUGGUGAAUGCCUUGGCGCUGAGAGACGACGAAGGACGUGGUAAGCUGCGAUAAGCCUCGGGGAGCUGCAAACAAGCAUUGAUCCGGGGAUUUCCGAAUGGGGAAACCCACGCGGGGCCAUGCCCGCGUAACCGCAAGCUGAAUACAUAGGCCUGCGGUUGUGAACGAGGGGAACUGAAACAUCUAAGUACCCUCAGGAAAAGAAAUCAACCGAGAUACCCCAAGUAGUGGCGAGCGAACGGGGUUCAGCCCAAACCAGGUGUACGUGAUAGCCCGCUGGCGUUGUACAUCUGGGGUUGUGGGGCCUCUCUGGGCUUCAGCGGAAGUCCGAGGGAGUUAUCAAGGUCGUUUAUAGUCGAAGUGUCUGGAAAGUCACACCACAGAGGGUGAUAGUCCUGUAGGCGAAAUAAACGACCCUCCCGAGAGUGUCCCCGAGUACCACGAGGCCGGUGAAACCUUGUGGGAAGCUGGGAGCACCAUCUUCCAAGGCUAAAUACUACUCAGCGACCGAUAGUGAACUAGUACCGUGAGGGAAAGGUGAAAAGAACCCCUGCUAGGGGAGUUAAAAGAACCUGAAACCAUGUGCCUACAAACUGUGGGAGCACUAUGGCCGGAGCCUUCGGGCCUGGCAAUGUGUGACUGCGUACCUUUUGCAUAAUGGGCCUGCGAGUUACGUUUCGUGGCAAGGUUAAGCCGAUAGGUGUAGCCGGAGCGAAAGCGAGUCUGAACAGGGCGUUCAGUCGCGGGACGUAGACACGAAACCGAUGUGAUCUAUCCAUGGCCAGGAUGAAGCCCGGGUAAUACCGGGUGGAGGUCCGAACCCACUCAAGUUGAAAAUUGAGGGGAUGAGCUGUGGAUUGGAGUGAAAGGCUAAUCAAACUCGGAGAUAGCUUGUUCUCCCCGAAAGCUAUUUAGGUAGCGCCUCGGGAAUUCAGUAGCGGAGGUAGAGCACUGGAUGGGCUAGGGGUCUCACCAGAUUACCAAACCCAACCAAACUCCGAAUGCCGCUAACUGCGACCCCGGGAGACAGACUAUGGGAGCUAAGUUCCAUGGUCAAAAGGGAAAAAGCCCAGACCGCCAGCUAAGGUCCCCAAAUCCAUACUAAGUGGAAAAGGAUGUGGAAGCGCUAAGACAACCAGGAGGUUGGCUUAGAAGCAGCCACCCUCUAAGGAAAGCGUAAUAGCUCACUGGUCAAGUGAAUCUGCGCCGAAAAUAUAACGGGGCUCAAGUAUGGUACCGAAGCUGCGGGUUUGGUUGAUGCCUUCGGGCGUCCCAAGCGGUAGGGGAGCAUUGUAGUUGCCUGAGAAGCCAUAUCGAAAGGAGUGGUGGAGGCCCUACAAGAGCUAAUGCAGGCAUGAGUAGCGAUAAAUGGUGUGAGAAACACCAUCGCCGUAAGCCUAAGGUUUCCUGGGUAAAGCUAAUCUUCCCAGGGUUAGUCGGCCCCUAAGACGAGGCUGAAAAGCGUAGUCGAUGGGAAACAGGUUAAUAUUCCUGUACCACUAUGGAUGGUUUCUACGGGAGGGACGGAGAAAGAUAGCCCAUCCCCUUAAUGGAAUAGGGGUUCAAGCUUGUAGGAGGAUGUCCUAGGACCUUUCAGGACAAACGGGGCAUUUUAACUCCGAGAAGCGAUGAGGAGGGAACAAGAGUUCCCACGAACUGGGUAAGUCUACGCUUCCUAGAAAAGCUCCGGUAGAGUUAACCGCUGUGGUGUCCGUACCGUAAUCCGACACAGGUAGGCGAGGAGAGUAUCCUAAGGCGCUUGAGUCAACCCUGGCUAAGGAACUCGGCAAAUUAACACCGUAACUUCGGGAGAAGGUGUGCCCUGGCUGGUGAUGAUCGCACGAUCGGAGCUGGUUGGGGUUGCAGUGAAGCGGGGGUAGCGACUGUUUACCAAAAACAUAGGACUCUGCAAAGUCGCAAGACGACGUAUAGGGUCUGACGCCUGCCCGGUGCUGGAAGGUUAAGGGGAGUAGUUAGUCUCUUCGGAGGCGAAGCCGCGAACCGAAGCCCCAGUAAACGGCGGCCGUAACUAUAACGGUCCUAAGGUAGCGAAAUUCCUUGUCGGGUAAGUUCCGACCUGCACGAAUGGCGUAACGA